Molecule: non-coding RNA, 529 nt
Organism: Clarias gariepinus (North African catfish)
Lineage: Eukaryota; Metazoa; Chordata; Actinopteri; Siluriformes; Clariidae
Source: the annotation of a RefSeq genome assembly
UGUACACACACCGGACUCAGGAUGUUGACACUGAUGUGGAUUACAGCGUUGCUUUGUGAUAAAAUUGUGGACUCUAUACAGACAAAGGGUGUAAAUCAACCAAACCCUGUGAUCACUGCUGCUGUUGGGGAUAGCGUGACUCUGCACUGCUUUCAACUGGGAGAGCAGAACACUGAUGCGAUCAUUUGGUACAAGCAAAAAGUAGGACACAGGCCUUGUGUAAUGGUUACAGUUUUAGGUGAACCCGAAUACGAAGAUGAGUUUAAGCCACCAAAAUUCAGCAUCAAAAAAGAAACAAAGAGCUGCCAUUUAAAAAUAUCUAAUGUCCAUCCAUCAGAUGAAGCCAUGUAUUACUGUGGAUUUAGAGAUUUUUUAACACAUUUUGGAAAUGGAACGUUUUUAGCAGUAACGGGUGAUGAAGAUGUAAAAGUGUCAGUAUCACAGAGCAGUGUGUUGGAGCGUCAGUGACUCUGCAGUGCUCGGUUCUCUCUGAGAGCAGAGCAGCAGAACUCCAAGUGCUCUGGUUCAG